This 497-nucleotide ribosomal RNA is filed under the name uncultured bacterium. RNAcentral's name for it is "partial 16S ribosomal RNA". It matches the Rfam family "Bacterial small subunit ribosomal RNA", at positions 28 to 507 of the family's 1533-position model. The record is from RNAcentral.
GAUGAACGCUGGCGGCGUGCCUAAUACAUGCAAGUCGAGCGAACAGACGAGGAGCUUGCUCCUCUGACGUUAGCGGCGGACGGGUGAGUAACACGUGGAUAACCUACCUAUAAGACUGGGAUAACUUCGGGAAACCGGAGCUAAUACCGGAUAAUAUAUUGAACCGCAUGGUUCAAUAGUGAAAGACGGUUUUGCUGUCACUUAUAGAUGGAUCCGCGCCGCAUUAGCUAGUUGGUAAGGUAACGGCUUACCAAGGCAACGAUGCGUAGCCGACCUGAGAGGGGGAUCGGCCACACUGGAACUGAGACACGGUCCAGACUCCUACGGGAGGCAGCAGUAGGGAAUCUUCCGCAAUGGGCGAAAGCCUGACGGAGCAACGCCGCGUGAGUGAUGAAGGUCUUCGGAUCGUAAAACUCUGUUAUUAGGGAAGAACAAAUGUGUAAGUAACUAUGCACGUCUUGACGGCACCUAAUCAGAAAGCCACGGCUAACUACGUG